AUAGCGGAUAAGGCUGAAUUUUGAACUUAAAACCUGGACAUUGACCACCUGGUAGCCCUGUUUGCUAGCCACCACCUGGAUGCCCUGCUAGCAGCCUGCUGCAACUAGCCCUGCAGCUAGUUACCACCUGCAUGAUCUAUUGAUAGCUUGCUGCUGGAAUUACUGCUGCUAGCUUGCUGUCAGUAGUCCUGCUUGCUUGCUAGCCGCUUCUUGGAUGCCCUGCUGCUACCCUGCUACUGGUAGCUCUGCUGCUAGCCUGCUGUUGGUAGCCUUGCUUCAUAGCCUGCUGCUGGUGGAUUUGUCUGCUAGCCAUCACCUGGAUGUUCUGUUGUUAGCCUGUUGCUGGAGCUACUACCUGGAUGCCUUGCUGCUAGCUGCCCUUGCUAGCUACCACCAGGAUUCUGCUACUAGCUCCACUUGCUAGCCACCUUCCAGAUGCCUUGUUACUGGCCCCACUUGCUAGCCACUACUUGGAUGCUCUGCUGUUUAGCCCCACUAGCUAGCCACCACCUGGAUGCCCUGCUGCUAGCUUUGUUGCUGAUAACCCUACUCCUAGCCUGCUACUAUUAGCCUUGCUUGCGAGCUAUCACCUGGAAGCUUCCCUGCUAGCCUCCAUCCUAUAGCCCUGACUUUUUGACUCCAAGCUACUGUUCACCCCUGUUAAGGCUGUCUUCAACUAAACCUGCACGGCCGCUCUCGCAGCGGGUUCCAUAUUUACCUGGGUUCCGGUGAUCCGGAGCGAGGGAAUACCUCGGAGAAAAGGGAUGGAUAAAGAGUCCAUUGAGCGGCGGAGUGACAAAUCGGUGAAGGAGGAAGAAAAAGAAGAAAGAAGAAAAUAAAAGUAGGGCAGAUGCAGAUCUCAGGUUUUGAUUAAAUAGCAUGUCGUUUCCAUAGCAACGCCUCGUUUAUGUAGACAUGUACAGCGAACGCCCCACUGACUAAAAACAUGUUAUGAUGAUGAUGUACAACCUGUUGGGGGGGAUUUUUUUAAGUACUGCGCGGUGACAGCUUUGCUGUCGCCUGCUACCGCUGGAUUUCUGCAUGUAGCACAGGGCCUCUUGUUUCCUGUGUAAAUAAGACUUAAAUGAAGGAGUGGAGACGUGGCUGUGAACGACACGCUGCU
Silurus meridionalis is the source of this 1123-nucleotide long non-coding RNA. RefSeq lists it as uncharacterized. The record is from RefSeq and is a predicted model, not a curated record. The transcript is spliced from 3 exons. NCBI's taxonomy places the organism in Eukaryota, Metazoa, Chordata, Actinopteri, Siluriformes, Siluridae.